GUCAUCCAAGAAAGCAUAUAGGAUAGUAUCAGAGGACAGAGCGGUGUCCUUAACUCAGUGUAACGGGCCACAUAAAGCUCCCUGGGGGAGCUAAGGCUUGACUCAGCUGAAAAUGUGGAAAGAGUGGGGAUUCUAGGGGUCAGCAAUAAUCGAAUUAACUAUCAUUAUCUCCAGUUUAGAGAUGAGGAAAUAAAGGCAUAGAACGGUUAAAUACAUCUCCCAAAGUGCAAAGUUAUCAAUUAACAGAGCCGAUAUUUGGUUGUAAUGCACACUGACUCCAAGGCAGGUCUCUUUAAUCAUUAACUUGAAUCAUCUCUCAUUUGCCAUAGGAAUCCAGAAAAGGCGGCAAUACUAGUGGACAAAUAGAAGAAAGAAAGGAAAUGGGAUAGAUCGGUGGUGAAGGCAAGUGCUAAGCCCAGAGAGAUUUAUUGAGGGGGGUGGUGUCUGGGUGGGGGAUGGGGACAAACCCCCAUGCACAGGACCUGUAGUAAAGUGUUAGGUCCUUGUAGAGAAUCUAUCAAUACUACAUGUUGGUUGAAUACUUGUUAUUUCAAAGUCAAACCAAAAGAGGUUUUUGGUAAAUCCUCUGAUAAUUACUAGAAAAGUGUCCGUGGACAAUGCAUGUAUCCUUUGUGAGCCUCCCUUUCUGUGCCUGUACAAGGGAGAUAGCAAUGUGUCUACCUUAUGGGGCUGUGAUGAGUAUUAUAUUGAGCGAAUAAAGCAUCAAGCAUAGAUCCUGGGACACAGUGCUGAUUCACGUUCUGUCUGCUUCCCUUUUGCAUCCCUUAGGUUUUCCCUCCUUUGCUGAGAACUUCUACCUGGUGUCCAUCCACUUCCUCUGCCACAGAGUGAGCAGCAGCCUGGGACUCAACCUCAUCCUGGUACAGAAGUGCACGGUCAAGCAUGAGAGACAGAAGUGUCAGGCAGACGAUGGUGAGACUGAGAAAGGAACUCAGAGCCGGGAGAAACAAGUCCUAUCUUCCGGCCAACUCACAGCCACGUGGUCUACCAGUGCAGUUGGCAUUAAGGGUUGAAUCGUAUCCCUGGCUCAAAUUCACGUGUUGAAAUCCUAACCUCUCAGUACCUCAGAAUAUAACUUGAUUUGGAGACCGGGUGUUUACAGAGGCAACCAAGAUAAAGCAAGGUCAUUCUGGUGGGCUCUAAUCAAAUAUGACUGUUGUGCUUCUUCUAAGAAGGGGAAAGUUGGACACAGACAUGUACAGACGGAAGACGAUGUGACCAGGUGAAGAUACUGGGAGAAUGCCAUUGAACAUGAAGACAACCAAGCCAAGGGGAGAGGCCUGGAACAGAGCCCUCCCUCAGAGCCCUCAGAAAGAACCAGCCGUCCCAACCAACACCUUGAUUUGGGACUUCCAGCCUCCAGGAGAUGAGACAAGAAAUUUCUGUUGGUUAAGCCACCCAGGCUGUGAUACUUGGUUACAGUAGCCCUAGCAAACGAAUACAGCUGGCCGCCUGGUGAACAUAAGAAAUGUCAAUUGUGAUGCGGGAAGGGGUACCCCUAAGAACACAGGAGAGUUUGAGGCCACUAUAUGGCUUUGAGGAAGGGAAUAGGGAAGAGGGGGCAAUGCCCAGGAGGAAAGACGUCCCACAAAGCCCUGCUGCCUUCCUGCCCCUGGGGCCUUUGCCCGCCCUACUACUAGGAAUAAAUCUACAAGGCUGCCUUUUAAUUUCUACUAUUGUGGAGAGUAUGACUUGGUGCCACUUUACUUAGUACUUGGAGCUUCUCUACAGCCCCACGGGUUGGGAGUCUCUGUGCUAUGACUGAUAUCCUCGCUCUAGAGAAAUUUUGUGCCAAAACUUGGAAUGAAAUUGGAUAGAGAAAUUGGUCUCUUCUGGCCCCCUUCCUGAUCGGCCCCAUCAGUCAAAUGCAGCAGACUGCAACGAUGCUAGAAGUUUUUCACUGAAGAGUCAGAGCACAGUAGCAAAAGUGGAUGACCAACCUGGAAGAAACUAACAGAAUCAAGAGCACUGCCUGGCUUUUCUUUCCUUACUUCAGUAAAUAUUUCAUAGAACAUCACUGAGCCCGGAAUUUCCUAGGUAAAGUGAGCAACUAAAUGAACAAUAAAAAUGGUUAUCACAUGCAUCUACUA
This is a long non-coding RNA of Leopardus geoffroyi (Geoffroy's cat), 2111 nucleotides long. RefSeq lists it as uncharacterized. The transcript is spliced from 5 exons. The record is from RefSeq and is a predicted model, not a curated record. NCBI's taxonomy places the organism in Eukaryota, Metazoa, Chordata, Mammalia, Carnivora, Felidae.